RNAcentral lists this ribosomal RNA (376 nucleotides) under uncultured bacterium. Its description in RNAcentral is "bacterial SSU rRNA". It matches the Rfam family "Bacterial small subunit ribosomal RNA", at positions 521 to 895 of the family's 1533-position model. The record is from RNAcentral.
UAAUACGGGGGGGGCAAGCGUUGUUCGGAAUUACUGGGCGUAAAGGGCUCGUAGGCGGCCAACUAAGUCAGACGUGAAAUCCCUCGGCUUAACCGGGGAACUGCGUCUGAUACUGGAUGGCUAGAGGUUGGGAGAGGGAUGCGGAAUUCCAGGUGUAGCGGUGAAAUGCGUAGAUAUCUGGAGGAACACCGGUGGCGAAGGCGGCAUCCUGGACCAAUUCUGACGCUGAGGAGCGAAAGCCAGGGGAGCAAACGGGAUUAGAUACCCCGGUAGUCCUGGCCCUAAACGAUGAAUGCUUGGUGUGGCGGGUAUCGAUCCCUGCCGUGCCGAAGCUAACGCAUUAAGCAUUCCGCCUGGGGAGUACGGUCGCAAGGCU